AUUGAACGCUGGCGGCAUGCCUUACACAUGCAAGUCGAACGGUAACGGGCCUUCGGGUGCCGACGAGUGGCGAACGGGUGAGUAAUACAUCGGAACGUGCCCGAUCGUGGGGGAUAACGAGGCGAAAGCUUUGCUAAUACCGCAUACGAUCUACGGAUGAAAGCAGGGGACCGCAAGGCCUUGCGCGGACGGAGCGGCCGAUGGCAGAUUAGGUAGUUGGUGGGAUAAAAGCUUACCAAGCCGACGAUCUGUAGCUGGUCUGAGAGGAUGAUCAGCCACACUGGGACUGAGACACGGCCCAGACUCCUACGGGAGGCAGCGGUGGGGAAUUUUGGACAAUGGGCGCAAGCCUGAUCCAGCCAUGCCGCGUGCAGGAUGAAGGCCUUCGGGUUGUAAACUGCUUUUGUACGGAACGAAAAGCCUUCUUUUAAUACAGGAGGGUCAUGACGGUACCGUAAGAAUAAGCACCGGCUAACUACGU
RNAcentral lists this ribosomal RNA (481 nucleotides) under uncultured bacterium. Its description in RNAcentral is "partial 16S ribosomal RNA". It matches the Rfam family "Bacterial small subunit ribosomal RNA", at positions 30 to 506 of the family's 1533-position model. The record is from RNAcentral.